GGCCCUACGGGAGGCAGCAGUGGGGAAUAUUGCACAAUGGGGGGAACCCUGAUGCAGCGACGCCGCGUGAAGGAAGAAGUAUUUCGGUAUGUAAACUUCUAUCAGCAGGGAAGAAAAAGGACGGUACCUGACUAAGAAGCCCCGGCUAACUACGUGCCAGCAGCCGCGGUAAUACGUAGGGGGCAAGCGUUAUCCGGAUUUACUGGGUGUAAAGGGUGCGUAGGUGGCAGGGCAAGUCAGAUGUGAAAGCCCGGGGCUCAACCCCGGUACUGCAUUUGAAACUGUCCAGCUGGAGUGCAGGAGAG
This 305-nucleotide ribosomal RNA is filed under the name uncultured bacterium. RNAcentral's name for it is "bacterial SSU rRNA". It matches the Rfam family "Bacterial small subunit ribosomal RNA", at positions 334 to 656 of the family's 1533-position model. The record is from RNAcentral.